Molecule: long non-coding RNA, 448 nt
Filed under: Daucus carota (carrot)
Lineage: Eukaryota; Viridiplantae; Streptophyta; Magnoliopsida; Apiales; Apiaceae
Description: long non-coding RNA (DCAR_LNC002476)
Source: RNAcentral
GUGGUUUCCGAAGUAGGAUGGCCAACGGAAGGACACUCUGCAGCUACUAUUGACAAUGCCAGGACUCAUAACAACGGAUUGAUUAAUCAUGUACAGAGCAUUGGGACUCCAAAAAGACCUCAGAAGCGUAUCGAUUGAUUAAUCAUGUACAGAGCAUUGGGACUCCAAAAAGACCUCAGAAGCGUAUCGAGACUUAUAUCUUCAAUUUGUUUGACGAGAACAAGAGGGAUCCGGAGGUCGAGAGGCACUGGGGAAUCUUCUGGAACAACAAACAGGCCAAGUACAACAUCAAUUUCCAAAAUCAGUAAUAAGUUCAAGUAUAAAAUAGCAGUUUAUCAUUAAUAAAAGGGUUCGGGAAUGUAUGAGUACCCACGAAGAACCAAUUUUACAAACUGCUGUUUGUUUGUACCAAAGCUUUACACCAAUAUAUCAUUCGGACACUUUCAAA